AUGCUCAAUGAAAUGCCAUGUAUAGUAAAACUGAGACAAUACAGAGGGGAUUAGCAUGACCAUACACAAUGAUGAUAUGCAAAUUUAUGAAGUAUUCCAUAUUUUU
This is a small nuclear RNA of Rattus norvegicus (Norway rat), 106 nucleotides long. The record is from Ensembl. NCBI's taxonomy places the organism in Eukaryota, Metazoa, Chordata, Mammalia, Rodentia, Muridae.